RNAcentral lists this non-coding RNA (30 nucleotides) under Mus musculus (house mouse). The record is from RNAcentral. Lineage: Eukaryota; Metazoa; Chordata; Mammalia; Rodentia; Muridae.
UGGAAGACUUGGAGACUCUCAGAAGUUGAU